UACGAAGGGGGCUAGCGUUGCUCGGAAUCACUGGGCGUAAAGGGCGCGUAGGCGGCCGAUCAAGUCGGGGGUGAAAGCCUGUGGCUCAACCACAGAAUUGCCUUCGAUACUGCUUGGCUUGAGACCGGAAGAGGUUAGUGGAACUGCGAGUGUAGAGGUGAAAUUCGUAGAUAUUCGCAAGAACACCAGUGGCGAAGGCGGCUGACUGGUCCGGUUCUGACGCUGAGGCGCGAAAGCGUGGGGAGCAAACAGG
Molecule: ribosomal RNA, 253 nt
Filed under: uncultured bacterium
Lineage: Bacteria
Description: partial 16S ribosomal RNA
Rfam family: Bacterial small subunit ribosomal RNA
Source: RNAcentral